Molecule: ribosomal RNA, 253 nt
Filed under: uncultured bacterium
Lineage: Bacteria
Description: partial 16S ribosomal RNA
Rfam family: Bacterial small subunit ribosomal RNA
Source: RNAcentral
UACGUAGGGUGCAAGCGUUAAUCGGAAUUACUGGGCGUAAAGCGUGCGCAGGCGGUUUUGUAAGUCUGUCGUGAAAUCCCCGGGCUCAACCUGGGAAUUGCGAUGGAGACUGCAAGGCUAGAAUCUGGCAGAGGGGGGUAGAAUUCCACGUGUAGCAGUGAAAUGCGUAGAGGUGUGGAGGAACACCGAUGGCGAAGGCAGCCCCCUGGGUCAAGAUUGACGCUCAUGCACGAAAGCGUGGGGAGCAAACAGG